RNAcentral lists this ribosomal RNA (253 nucleotides) under uncultured bacterium. Its description in RNAcentral is "partial 16S ribosomal RNA". It matches the Rfam family "Bacterial small subunit ribosomal RNA", at positions 524 to 776 of the family's 1533-position model. The record is from RNAcentral.
UACGAAGGGUGCAAGCGUUGUUCGGAUUUAUUGGGCGUAAAGCACGCGUAGGCGGACCUGCAAGUCAGAUGUGAAAUCUCGGGGCUCAACCUCGAAACUGCGUCUGAAACUACAGGUCUAGAAUCUUGGAGGGGGUAGGGGAAUUUCUCAUGUAGGGGUAAAAUCCGUAGAUAUGAGAAGGAACACCAGAGGCGAAGGCGCCUACCUGGACAAGUAUUGACGCUGAGGCGCGAAAGCGUGGGGAUCAAACAGG